AUAGAUACCCCACUAUGCUUAGCUGUAAAAUAUUAACCCACACUUAAACCGCCAGGGAAUAACGAGCCCAAGCUUAAAACCCAAAGGACUUGACGGUGUCCCAUCCCACUAGAGGAGCCUGUUCUAUAAUCGAUUCUCCCCGAUUUACCUCACCACUUCUUGAAUGUCCAGUCUGUAUACCUCCGUCGCAAGCUUACCGUAUGAACGCGCCUAGUGAGCUAAAAGAUAUACUAUCAACACGUCAGGUCAAGGUGCAACCCACGAAGCGGAAAGAAAUGGGCUACAAUCUCUAUACUAGAACAAACGGAAGACUGUAUGAAAUACAGCUACUAAAGGUGGAUUUAGUAGUAAAAAGAAACUAGAGAGUUCUUUUUAACUAGGCCCUGGAACGCGUACACACCGCCCGUCACCCUCUUCAAACAAACUAAAAAGUUUAUAACAUUAUAUAAUCAUAUAGAAGAGGCAAGUCGUAACAUGGUAAGUGUACUGGAAAGUGCACUUGGAACAAAAUGUAGCUUAAUUAAAGCAUCUCGCUUACACCUAGAACAUGCCCGUGAAACUCUGACCAUUUUGAGCCUAACCCAAAGCCCUUCUAACCCCAAAUAAAAUCCCUCUUAUAAACAAACUAACUAAAACAUUUUCUUAACUCAGUAAAGGCGAUUAAAAAGUUUCUAGGAGCCUUAACUCUAGUACCGCAAGGGAAAAGUGAAAUAAAAUUGAAAUAAUUUAAAGCACUAUAAAGUAGAGGGGCCCCCUCGUACCUU
Molecule: ribosomal RNA, 764 nt
Filed under: Choerophryne burtoni
Lineage: Eukaryota; Metazoa; Chordata; Amphibia; Anura; Microhylidae
Description: partial 12S ribosomal RNA
Rfam family: Bacterial small subunit ribosomal RNA (bases 1-515)
Source: RNAcentral